RNAcentral lists this unclassified non-coding RNA (359 nucleotides) under Rhizoclonium sp. D85. RNAcentral's name for it is "sequence contains ITS2". The stretch from base 1 to 122 matches the Rfam family "5.8S ribosomal RNA", at positions 33 to 154 of the family's 154-position model. The record is from RNAcentral. Lineage: Eukaryota; Viridiplantae; Chlorophyta; Ulvophyceae; Cladophorales; Cladophoraceae.
UCGAUGGAGAACGCAGCAAAGCGCGAUAGGUAGUGUGAAUUGCAGAAUUCCGUGAAUCAUCGAAUUUUUGAACGCAUAUUGCGCCCUUGCUCUCGGGCUUGGGCAUGUCUGCCUCAGCGUCGUAAUUAAUGGCAUCAACAUGAUUGGCUCUUGCCUCGGCAUGAGCUUAAGCUUUGUUCGAUUUGUGUCGAAAGACACAGCAGAAUGACAGCAGCCUGACGCGGCUCGGUUCAUCGUAAGCAAGCAAUCCUGCAGACUUUCAUGGAUCGUAGCAAAAGCCGAUGGCCGUCUACCAACCAUUCGACCUGAGUUUAGGCAGGGCUACCCGCUGAACUUAAGCAUAUCAAUAAGGCGGAGGA